UUUUUUUUUUUUUGCACUAUUGACUUUUACAAUUGGUUGAGAACAAUGUUGAUUUCAAUGGUUUUACCCUUCUCUAUCUACAGGUCAAGUUCAAGUUUUCAUUCCUCUUGUUGAAUGACAACAGUCAAUUACUGGAAAAUGACUUUGUGUUCACUGUAAACUGUGUAUUUUUCUAACAAAUUUAUUUAUUGCUCUUUAUUUUUGCUGUAUCAAAUGAAAAUACAAUGUUUAUGGUACAGUAUGCAAAACAUCUAUGUUGGUGCAUACCAGACCAACUAUUAAUAAUCAUAUUCAGUGCUUUACAUGUUUUAAGCUUUACAUGUUAACAUCAUAGCUGUUUUUUGUUGUUGUUUGUUUGUUUUUUACUUCUAUGUAAAAAUUUUACAAAGCCUUUACUACAUUUUAGGAAAUUUACUGGGAGUUUGGAAGUGACUUAUAACCCAGGAUCAUUUUUCCCAUUUUAAAUAAUGGAAAAAUUUGCUUCCAGUUAUCAUUUUCCUGCAGAGUAUUGGUGUUUCAGGAUUUUCAGUCUACUAAUGUUAACUAAGGGAUACCUGUAGGUUUUUUUAAUCGUGUCUUUCAUUUUGCUCAUAGUUUCAAGUUCUUAGGGAAUUAUCUUCCUCGUUAUGUAAAUAUAUUGACAUUCAAAUUGAGAUUUAUCAUUGUAUGGUUUUUGUAGUAUUGGCGGUGGGUGGGUGUGUGUGACUGGGGCGGGGUGGGGGGAGAGAAAGAAAGGAGAGGAGAAAGAGAAAGAAAGAAGGAACUCUUCUUUUGCAAGACAUUUUUUUCCUAGUAAGAAUCCUGCAUGUCCUUACUUCUAGAAUGUCCCUCUAGAGAGGUUCUCUGUUUGCUACUGCUUUGGGCCCCAUGGAUAUCACCAAGCUAGGAUCAGUUUUAUGGUAACGUAUCAGCUUAGAGAUUUCUUCACCACUAAUGUAUCACAAAUUCAGAUGCAAUCCCCUCCUCAGUGCUGACUUGGAAUUUUUCUUUUUUACUGAACACUUUCUUUUCCCCAUGUAAAGCAUCAGGAGGAAUAAAUUUCACAUUCUCCAAGGCAAUGGAUGAGAUUCUUUUUAGUCCUCUUUUCCAGAGAUGGCUCAGUGAAAUUUUUCAGAUACAUUUACUAAGGCUCUCGACUCUGUCUCUCUUGAUGGAUCCAAGGUCUUGUUUUAUGCCCUUUUGUAAAAGUUAAACUAUCGAGUCUUUUGCCACAAAGGGCCUAUGUCUGGAUCCUGUAACUACUCGAAACUGCCACCAAUCCAUCUACCAAUCCCACCACUCUAGACUUUAAUCCGCAAUUGUUUUCUACAAGAAAGUUAUCUUCUUUGUGUCCUGAAGCAUGUAUUUGAAUUUCUGAAUCUUUCAGUGAGAAACUUUUGCAUAUUAAUCUUUUUCAAAUAGUCCAUUCCUACAACUAAAUAUUGAUUGAAAAAGUUAAAAUUAUUUCUCUCAAAAAGCCCAGUUUUUAGGACUUUCUGUAUCUUAUUCUCCUUUUGAAUUGAUUAAAGCUGCUUUGCCCUUCCCUUCUUCUCCCUGCCCAUGUGGUUAUCAUGGUAGGCUCAACUCCCUCUCAGGAAGAAAUCAGGAGUAAGAAUUUGAUCAUCGUAUUCAAACAAGACUGUGGUGGAUUGUACUGUC
RNAcentral lists this long non-coding RNA (1638 nucleotides) under Sus scrofa (pig). RNAcentral's name for it is "lncRNA (ENSSSCG00185001054.1)". Lineage: Eukaryota; Metazoa; Chordata; Mammalia; Artiodactyla; Suidae. The record is from RNAcentral.